Molecule: long non-coding RNA, 1216 nt
Filed under: Gossypium barbadense (sea-island cotton)
Lineage: Eukaryota; Viridiplantae; Streptophyta; Magnoliopsida; Malvales; Malvaceae
Description: long non-coding RNA (GBAR_LNC003247)
Source: RNAcentral
UCAAUAAAUGCAGGGUAAAAAAACGCAGCACCUAGGGGAGUUUUUCGUUUAAAAAAUAUAUAUAUUUAUUUAUGUUUCAUUAUGUAUACACACGACUAGCUCGAUGGAAUUGAUGUUCAUCUGAUUUUCUUUUAACCCAAUUUAAUUAAUUUCCCAAUAAAAAAACCCAAAAUCACUGAUGAAACCUAAUCUCUUCCCUGCCUCUUCACAUCCUCUGAGAAAACCUUCUUUGCCUCUCUCUCAUCCAGCACCGAGCUCCGCCGUGCGCCGCCAUUCACUAUCGUCCUUUCGAUCCUGAGACACCUCCAACCGUCUCUUCUUCCUUCCCUCUUCAGACUGGUUUUCUUCGAAACCGAUCUAAACCUUGUAGCUCCAAGCUUGAAGUAUAAAAUCCAAACUUCCGAUCCGGCUAAAUCCACCGUCUGAUUGUCACACCACUCUGACCAUCGCUUCCUGGUGGCCGAACGCGCCUCCCCAUCGUUCGGAUAGUCGGUGUGAAUAAAGAAUCAAAACAGCUCUGAGAUCGCUUCCUCGUGGCCGAACGCGCCUCCCCAUCAAUCAAACGCUGCUCCCAUUUUUUGUUUUGGGAAACAAAAUCGAUGUGGAUGGUGGAAACAGUUGAGUAGUAGGUAUAUACAUUUGAAAUGCCUUUUGUGGAAAUGUAGUUUGAUGAUUAGAUUAUAUUCAUAUUUGAAAUUAACUUGUCAUUUACCACAUGUAUACUUGUGUGUUUGAACUCUAUGGUGAUGGGCACUCUUUGAUGCACUCAACAUUGCUCUAACAAGGACAUUUGUUAACUUUGUAGGCAUUAAUAUAUACAUUUGAAAUGCCUUUUGUGGAAAUGUAGUUUGAUGAUUAGAUUAUAUUCAUAUUUGAAAUUAACUUGUCAUUCACCACCAAAAUGGCAGGUCUUGCUCUAGAAACUAUGUAUACUUUAGUGUGUUUGAACUCUAUGGUGAUGGGCACUCUUUGAUGCACUCAACAUUGCUCUAACAAGGACAUUUGUUAACUUUGUAGGCAUUGAUGUUUAUGUUAACUGGAUUAUGUAUUAAUAUUCAUUAUUAAUAAAAAAUAUUUGUUUUGUUUCUUUAUUUUCUUUAAUUCUUUUUACGAAUUUUUUGAUUUUAAUAUCUCUUAAUUCAAAUAUGAUGGCUGGAAAAGAACAUUUGAGAAUCAAACAAAAAUUGUAAAAAACAAUAAUUAAGCUAUUCGUCAG